GGGUCAGUAGGUUGGUCGUGCCACCGGUACGUACUGGUCUCACUGAUUCCUCCUUCCUGAAGAACCGUAAUGCCAUUAAUUUGGUGUUGCGGGGAAACAGGACUGUUACUUUGAAACAAUUAGAGUGUUUAAGGCAAGCUAACGCUUGAAUACAUUAGCAUGGAAUAAUGAAAUAGGACGAUCGAUCCUAUUUUGUUGGUUUCUAGGAUUGAAGGA
This 216-nucleotide ribosomal RNA is filed under the name Glomeromycotina sp. RNAcentral's name for it is "partial small subunit ribosomal RNA". The stretch from base 40 to 216 matches the Rfam family "Eukaryotic small subunit ribosomal RNA", at positions 686 to 864 of the family's 1831-position model. The record is from RNAcentral. Lineage: Eukaryota; Fungi; Glomeromycota.